AUUGAACGCUGGCGGCAGGCCUAACACAUGCAAGUCGGACGGUAGCACAGAGGAGCUUGCUCCUCGGGUGACGAGUGGCGGACGGGUGAGUAAUGUCUGGGGAUCUGCCCGAUAGAGGGGGAUAACCACUGGAAACGGUGGCUAAUACCGCAUAACGUCGCAAGACCAAAGAGGGGGACCUUCGGGCCUCUCACUAUCGGAUGAACCCAGAUGGGAUUAGCUAGUAGGCGGGGUAACGGCCCACCUAGGCGACGAUCCCUAGCUGGUCUGAGAGGAUGACCAGCCACACUGGAACUGAGACACGGUCCAGACUCCUACGGGAGUCAGCAGUGGGGAAUAUUGCACAAUGGGCGCAAGCCUGAUGCAGCCAUGCCGCGUGUGUGAAGAAGGCCUUCGGGUUGUAAAGUACUUUCAGCGGGGAGGAAGGCGAUGUGGUUAAUAACCGCAUUGAUUGACGUUACCCGCAGAAGAAGCACCGGCUAACUCCGUGCCAGCCGCCGCGGUAA
RNAcentral lists this ribosomal RNA (506 nucleotides) under uncultured bacterium. Its description in RNAcentral is "partial 16S ribosomal RNA". It matches the Rfam family "Bacterial small subunit ribosomal RNA", at positions 29 to 523 of the family's 1533-position model. The record is from RNAcentral.